GUGUCAGCAGCCGCGGUAAUACGUAGGUGGCAAGCGUUAUCCGGAUUCACUGGGCGUAAAGCGCGUGCAGGCGGUUUCGUAAGUCGGACGUGAAAGCUCCUGGCUUAACUGGGAGAGGUCGUUCGAUACUGCGGGGCUUGAGGUCGGGAGAGGGACGUGGAAUUCCCGGUGUAGUGGUGGAAUGCGUAGAUAUCGGGAGGAACACCAGUGGCGAAGGCGACGUCCUGGCCCGCACCUGACGCUGAGACGCGAAAGCGUGGGUAGCGAACGGGAUUAGAAACCCCAGUAGUCC
This 292-nucleotide ribosomal RNA is filed under the name uncultured bacterium. RNAcentral describes it as "partial 16S ribosomal RNA". It matches the Rfam family "Bacterial small subunit ribosomal RNA", at positions 505 to 796 of the family's 1533-position model. The record is from RNAcentral.